Molecule: RNA transcript, 1647 nt
Organism: Homo sapiens (human)
Lineage: Eukaryota; Metazoa; Chordata; Mammalia; Primates; Hominidae
Gene: MKRN10P
Gene name: makorin ring finger protein 10, pseudogene
Exons: 1
Source: RefSeq, marked provisional
GUCACCACCCCAUCCCCAGGGAUGGGCGGAGGGGGUGGCGGCAGCGACAGCAGGGGAGGCAGCUGGAUUAAACAGGUCACCUGCAGGUAUUUUAUGCUGGGGUUUGUAAGGAAGGUGAUAACUGUCGCUACUCCCAUGACCUCUCUGACAGUCCGUGUGGUGUAGUGUGCAAGUAUUUUCAGUGAGGGUACUGUAUUUAUGGAGACCGCUGCAGAUAUGAACAUAGCAAGCCAUUGAAACAGGAAGAAGCAGCUGCUACAGAGCUAACUACAAUAUCAUCCCUUGCUGCUUCCUCAAGUCUCUUGUCGUUAGUCGGACCACUUGUUGAAAUGAAUACAGGUGAAGCUGAGUCAAGAAAUUCAAACUUUGCAAUUGUAGGAGCAGGUUCAGAGGACUGGGUGCAUGCUAUUGAGUUUGUUCCUGGGCAACCCUACUUUGGCUAUAUUAGAUUUUCAGUUCCCUUGUAGUUCAUGUAUCUGUCUUAUUAGUUUGGACCUUUACCACCCUCUUGAAAAUUUUCAGCUGUGCCUUCCUGCACUGAAGCACCUCUGCAGGACUCAGUGACCAAGGAAGAAUCAGAGAAAGAGAAAAACUGCUGUGGAAACCAAGAAGCAGCUGUGCCCCUGUGCUGCAGUGAGAGAGUGCUGAGAUGGGGAGAACUGUGUGCCUCUCCAUGGAGAUUCAUGUGACAUGUGUGGACUGCAGGUCCUGCAUCCCAUGGCUGCUGCCCAGAGAUCACAGCAUAUAAAAUUGUGCAUUGAGGCCCAUGAGAAGGACAUGGAGCUCUCACUUGCUGUGCAGCGCAGCAAGGACGUGGUGUAUGGGAUCUGCAUGGAGGUGGUCUAUGAGAAAGCAAACCCCAGUGAGUGCUGCUUCGGGAUUCUCUCCAACUGCAACCAUGCCUACUGUCUCAAGUGCAUUCGCAAGUGGAGCAGUGCUAAGCAAUUUCAGAGCAAGAUUAUAAAGUCCUGCCUAGAUUGCCAGAUCACAUCUAACUUUGUCAUUCCAAGUGAGUCCUGGGUGGAGAAAGAAGAGAAGCAGAAACUCAUUCAGAAAUACAAGGAGGCAUUGAGCAACAAGGCUUGCAGGUAUUUUGAUGAAGGACGUGGGAGCUGCCCAUUUGGAAGGAAUUGUUUUUACAAGCAUGCGUACCCUGAUGGCCUUACAGAGAAGCCACAGAGACAGAAAGUGGGAACAUCAAGCAGAAACUGGGUCCAAUGAAGGAACCACUUCUGAGAACUCACUGAGGAAAGAGAUAGCAGCAACCCUUUUGACAAUGAUGAAGAGGUUGUCACCUCUUGAGGUGGGCGAGAUGUUGCUUAUGCUUUUGGCUGCAGGUGGGGAUGAUGAACUGGCAGACUCUGAAGAUGAGUGGGACUUGUUUCAUGAUGAGCUGGAAGAUUUUUAUGAUUUGGAUCUAUAGCAACCUUGUGUGGCGUGUGAACUGGUCUGCUGACCCCAGACAGCAGCUGUCCCCUGUGCUGGUGUGGCAGUGCCUGUGUUCUCUCCUAGGUAGGCCUAUCAACUCCAGGUGUUGUAAAAAUUUUUACCCAGGGCCUGUCUUCUCAACCCUUCACCUUUCCCCGAGGAGUGUGUUAUUUUCCCUGUUGAAAACAGUUAAAACUUAAAGUUAGUUUUUUGUAACAC